Molecule: ribosomal RNA, 251 nt
Filed under: uncultured archaeon
Lineage: Archaea
Description: partial 16S ribosomal RNA
Rfam family: Archaeal small subunit ribosomal RNA
Source: RNAcentral
CAGCCGUAAACAAUGUGCGUUAGGUGUGUCGGGAACCACGUGUUACUGAUGCGCCGAAGAGAAAUCGUGAAACGCACCACCUGGGAAGUACGGUCGCAAGGCUGAAACUUAAAGGAAUUGGCGGGGGAGCACCACAACAGGUGGAGCCUGCGGUUUAAUUGGAUUCAACGCCGGACAUCUCACCGGAUAAGACAGCUGAAUGAUUGUCAAUCUGAAGGUUUUACAUGACUAGCUGAGAGGUGGUGCAUGGC